GAAAAAGUGGUUUUGGAAAAGAAAGGACGGAGGUGACUGGAGGAGCUGAGCUUUACUACGGUGAACAAAACACACCAGUGUGUGGAUCCCACAGCCAGGUGGCUCAAAAGAAGAUUCCAAAAGUUACAAAAAAGAGGAAUGUGUUGCUAUGACCUCUGAAAGGCCUUCAACAGCCAAGAUGAAGUUGACACAUCAUGAUCUUCCAAGCAGAAAUCUUCACAUUUAACAAUUGUUUUGCUUUAUUCUUAAUUUACAACUCCGAUUUUUAGUUUCAAUUUUCAGCUCAAUAUACUUUGUUUUUAAUAAAUAUCAUGAUAUUAA
This is a long non-coding RNA of Micropterus salmoides (largemouth bass), 321 nucleotides long. RefSeq lists it as uncharacterized. The record is from RefSeq and is a predicted model, not a curated record. NCBI's taxonomy places the organism in Eukaryota, Metazoa, Chordata, Actinopteri, Centrarchiformes, Centrarchidae. The transcript is spliced from 3 exons.